AUUGAACGCUGGCGGCAGGCCUAACACAUGCAAGUCGAGCGGAUGAAGGGAGCUUGCUCCUGGAUUCAGCGGCGGACGGGUGAGUAAUGCCUAGGAAUCUGCCUGGUAGUGGGGGAUAACGUCCGGAAACGGGCGCUAAUACCGCAUACGUCCUGAGGGAGAAAGUGGGGGAUCUUCGGACCUCACGCUAUCAGAUGAGCCUAGGUCGGAUUAGCUAGUUGGUGGGGUAAAGGCCUACCAAGGCGACGAUCCGUAACUGGUCUGAGAGGAUGAUCAGUCAAAGUGGCACUGAGCGAACGCACAGACGCAUAGGAGAGGCGGAGAGGAGGAAUAGUGGAGUCAGGGCGGAUACCUGAUGCAGAGAGGCCGAGUGAGUGUAGAUUGUCGUAGGGAUGUAAAGCACGUUGAGUUGGGAUGAAGUGCAGUAAUUAAAUCCCUUGCUGUUUUAACAUUACACAGAGAAUAAGCCCCGGAAAACGUCGUCCCAGCAGCCGCGGUACGGAGAAGGGCACACGGCUGAAC
This 522-nucleotide ribosomal RNA is filed under the name uncultured bacterium. Its description in RNAcentral is "partial 16S ribosomal RNA". It matches the Rfam family "Bacterial small subunit ribosomal RNA", at positions 34 to 540 of the family's 1533-position model. The record is from RNAcentral.